RNAcentral lists this ribosomal RNA (460 nucleotides) under uncultured bacterium. RNAcentral's name for it is "partial 16S ribosomal RNA". It matches the Rfam family "Bacterial small subunit ribosomal RNA", at positions 338 to 795 of the family's 1533-position model. The record is from RNAcentral.
CCUACGGGAGGCAGCAGUGAGGAAUAUUGGUCAAUGGCCGGAAGGCUGAACCAGCCAUGCCGCGUGAAGGUCAGUGCCCUAUGGGCGUUAAACUUCUUUUGUGCGGGAGCAAUAAUGGUCACGUGUGGCCAGACGAGAGUACCGUACGACUCAGCAUCGGCUAACUCCGUGCCAGCAGCCGCGGUAAUACGGGGGAUGCAAGCGUUAUCCGGAUUUAUUGGGUUUAAAGGGUGCGUAGGCUGUGAGGUAAGUCAGCGGUGAAAUGCCCCCGCUCAACGGGGUGAAGUGCCCGUGAUACUGCCGUGCUGGAAUGCGGAUGCCGUGGGAGGAAUGUGUGGUGUAGCGGUGAAAUGCAUAGAUAUCACACAGAACACCGAUUGCGAAGGCAUCUCACGAAUCCGCGAUUGACGCUGAUGCACGAAAGCGUGGGUAUCAAACAGGAUUAGAUACCCGGGUAGUC